GACGAACGCUGGCGGCGUGCUUAACACAUGCAAGUCGAACGGUGAAGCCCUUCGGGGUGGAUCAGUGGCGAACGGGUGAGUAACACGUGAGCAACCUGCCCCUGGCUCUGGGACAACCACUGGAAACGGUGGCUAAUACCGGAUACGACCCGCCUCGGCAUCGAGUGUGGGUGGAAAGUUUUUCGGCUGGGGAUGGGCUCGCGGCCUAUCAGCUUGUUGGUGAGGUGAAGGCUCACCAAGGCGACGACGGGUAGCCGGCCUGAGAGGGCGACCGGCCACACUGGGACUGAGACACGGCCCAGACUCCUGCGGGAGGCAGCAGUGGGGAAUAUUGCACAAUGGGCGAAAGCCUGAUGCAGCGACGCCGCGUGAGGGAUGACGGCCUUCGGGUUGUAAACCUCUUUCAGCUCCGAAGAAGCGAAAGUGACGGUAGGAGCAGAAGAAGCACCGGCUAACUACGUG
RNAcentral lists this ribosomal RNA (462 nucleotides) under uncultured bacterium. RNAcentral's name for it is "partial 16S ribosomal RNA". It matches the Rfam family "Bacterial small subunit ribosomal RNA", at positions 28 to 507 of the family's 1533-position model. The record is from RNAcentral.